AAAUCGCUGUUAAGAUGCAGUGUAUCCGCGGCUAGACGGAAAGACCCCGUGAACCUUUACUACAGCUUCACAGUGGAUCUUGAUGUUGCUUGUGUAGGAUAGGUGGGAGGCUUUGAAGUGUGGACGCCAGUCUGCAUGGAGCCAACCUUGAAAUACCACCCUGGCAAUAUUGAGGUUCUAACCCGGGUCCCUUAUCGGGAUCGGGGACAUUGUGUGGUGGGUAGUUUGACUGGGGCGGUCUCCUCCCAAAGAGUAACGGAGGAGCACGAAGGUUGGCUAAGCACGGUCGGACAUCGUGCGGUUAGUGUAAAGGCACAAGCCAGCUUGACUGCGAGACGUACAUGUCGAGCAGGUACGAAAGUAGGUCUUAGUGAUCCGGUGGUUCUGAAUGGAAGGGCCAUCGCUCAACGGAUAAAAGGUACUCCGGGGAUAACAGGCUGAUACCGCCCAAGAGUUCACAUCGACGGCGGUGUUUGGCACCUCGAUGUCGGCUCAUCACAUCCUGGGGCUGAAGCCGGUCCCAAGGGUAUGGCUGUUCGCCAUUUAAAGUGGUACGCGAGCUGGGUUUAGAACGUCGUGAGACAGUUCGGUCCCUAUCUGCCGUGGACGUUGGAAGUUUGAGGAGAGCUGCUCCUAGUACGAGAGGACCGGAGUGGACGAACCACUGGUGUUCGGGUUGUGUCGCCAGACGCAUUGCCCGGUAGCUAAGUUCGGACGGGAUAACCGCUGAAAGCAUCUAAGCGGGAAGCCCCCUUCAAGAUGAGACUUCCCUUGGCCUUCGAGGCCACAUAAGAGACGUUGAAGACUACGACGUUGAUAGGCUGGGUGUGUAAGCGUUGUGAGGCGUUGAGCUAACCAGUACUAAUGACUCGA
Molecule: non-coding RNA, 873 nt
Filed under: Endozoicomonas montiporae
Lineage: Bacteria; Pseudomonadati; Pseudomonadota; Gammaproteobacteria; Oceanospirillales; Endozoicomonadaceae
Description: Bacterial large subunit ribosomal RNA
Rfam family: Bacterial large subunit ribosomal RNA
Source: Rfam by way of RNAcentral